GAUGAACGCUGGCGGCGUGCCUAAUACAUGCGAGUCGAGCGAACAGACGAGGAGCUUGCUCCUUUGACGUUAGCGGCGGACGGGUGAGUAACACGUAGGUAACCUACCUAUAAGACUGGGAUAACUUCGGGAAACCGGAGCUAAUACCGGAUAAUAUUUCGAACCGCAUGGUUCGAUAGUGAAAGAUGGCUUUGCUAUCACUUAUAGAUGGACCUGCGCCGUAUUAGCUAGUUGGUAAGGUAACGGCUUACCAAGGCAACGAUCCGUAGCCGACCUGAGAGGGUGAUCGGCCACACUGGAACUGAGACACGGUCCAGACUCCUACGGGAGGCAGCAGUAGGGAAUCUUCCGCAAUGGGCGAAAGCCUGACGGAGCAACGCCGCGUGAGUGAUGAAGGUCUUCGGAUCGUAAAACUCUGUUAUUAGGGAAGAACAAACGUGUAAGUAACUGUGCACGUCUUGACGGUACCUAAUCAGAAAGCCACGGCUAACUACGUG
RNAcentral lists this ribosomal RNA (497 nucleotides) under uncultured bacterium. Its description in RNAcentral is "partial 16S ribosomal RNA". It matches the Rfam family "Bacterial small subunit ribosomal RNA", at positions 28 to 507 of the family's 1533-position model. The record is from RNAcentral.